RNAcentral lists this ribosomal RNA (253 nucleotides) under uncultured bacterium. Its description in RNAcentral is "partial 16S ribosomal RNA". It matches the Rfam family "Bacterial small subunit ribosomal RNA", at positions 524 to 776 of the family's 1533-position model. The record is from RNAcentral.
UACGAAGGGGGCUAGCGUUGCUCGGAAUCACUGGGUGUAAAGCGCACGUAGGCGGAUUGCUAAGUCAGGGGUGAAAUCCCGAGGCUCAACCUCGGAACUGCCUUUGAUACUGGGGAUCUCGAGUUCGGGAGAGGUGAGUGGAAUUGCGAGUGUAGAGGUGAAAUUCGUAGAUAUUCGCAAGAACACCAGUGGCGAAGGCGGCUCACUGGCCCGAUACUGACGCUGAGGUGCGAAAGCGUGGGGAGCAAACAGG